AUUGAACGCUGGCGGCAGGCCUAACACAUGCAAGUCGAACGAGUGGCGGACGGGUGAGUAAUGUCUGGGAAACUGCCUGAUGGAGGGGGAUAACUACUGGAAACGGUAGCUAAUACCGCAUACCAUCGGAUGUGCCCAGAUGGGAUUAGCUUGUUGGUGGGGUAACGGCUCACCAAGGCGACGAUCCCUAGCUGGUCUGAGAGGAUGACCAGCCACACUGGAACUGAGACACGGUCCAGACUCCUACGGGAGGCAGAAGUGGGGAAUAUUGCACAAGUGGCGCAAUCCUGAUGCAGCCAUGCCGCGGGUAUGAAGAAGGCCUUCGGGUUUUAAAGUAUUUUCAGCGGGGAGGCGUUACCCGAAGAAGAAGCACCGGCUAACUCCGUGCCAGCAGCCGCGGUAAUAC
Molecule: ribosomal RNA, 406 nt
Filed under: uncultured bacterium
Lineage: Bacteria
Description: partial 16S ribosomal RNA
Rfam family: Bacterial small subunit ribosomal RNA
Source: RNAcentral